AGUAACAAGGUGAUUUCACCUGAGGUCCCAUGCCUCCUUCCUGUGUGGCUGGAGCUUCGUCCAAGCACCCUUGUGAGCAAGAACACUCUGCGGCGAAUAAGAUGUGAAGUGUAGAAAACAACAAGAGUCCUUUCCUCUUCAAACUGGCCUUCCAAGUAAUCCUGUUUGCACAACGUGAGCAUACAACAGGACUACUCACGCUUUCCUCCAACUGUUGCUAUUCAUUUGCGGAGAAAGAGAUUCCCAAGAAGGUUAUCCGGUGUCACAAAGAAACCAGUUCCAUCUGCUCCCACAGAGCUGUCGUAUUUCAGCUGAAGAGAGGCAGGCAGACCUGCGCCCUGAAGGAGCAUGCGUGGGUCCAGAAGUACCUUUCCAGCCUGAAGUCCUGUCUGCCAUAGCAAAUGCCAGCUCUGGAGACCAUGUGGCAUCACGCGUCACAGAAACUGCCAAGCCCACACCAUUCCUUCUGCUCCGCUUCAGCUGAGUUAGGAGGAUCUGCUCAGU
Molecule: RNA transcript, 504 nt
Organism: Nycticebus coucang (slow loris)
Lineage: Eukaryota; Metazoa; Chordata; Mammalia; Primates; Lorisidae
Gene: CCL1
Gene name: C-C motif chemokine ligand 1
Exons: 3
Source: RefSeq, a predicted model, not a curated record